This 497-nucleotide ribosomal RNA is filed under the name uncultured bacterium. RNAcentral's name for it is "partial 16S ribosomal RNA". It matches the Rfam family "Bacterial small subunit ribosomal RNA", at positions 28 to 507 of the family's 1533-position model. The record is from RNAcentral.
GAUGAACGCUGGCGGCGUGCCUAAUACAUGCCAGUCGAGCGAACAGACGAGGAGCUUGCUCCUCUGACGUUAGCGGCGGACGGGUGAGUAACACGUGGAUAACCUACCUAUAAGACUGGGAUAACUUCGGGAAACCGGAGCUAAUACCGGAUAAUAUAUUGAACCGCAUGGUUCAAUAGUGAAAGACGGUUUUGCUGUCACUUAUAGAUGGAUCCGCGCCGCAUUAGCUAGUUGGUAAGGUAACGGCUUACCAAGGCAACGAUGCGUAGCCGACCUGAGAGGGUGAUCGGCCACACUGGAACUGAGACACGGUCCAGACUCCUACGGGAGGCAGCAGUAGGGAAUCUUCCGCAAUGGGCGAAAGCUUGACGGAGCAACGCCGCGUGAGUGAUGAAGGUCUUCGGAUCGUAAAACUCUGUUAUUAGGGAAGAACAAAUGUGUAAGUAACUAUGCAUGUCUUGACGGUACCUAAUCAGAAAGCCACGGCUAACUACGUG